UAUCUUCAGGGCAGGGUGAAAGUCCCUACCGGUGGUAAAAGUCCACGAGCCUCAAUGGGUUGACCCGGUGUGAUUCCGGGACCGACGGUCAAAGUCCGGAUGAAAGAAGACG
RNAcentral lists this non-coding RNA (112 nucleotides) under human gut metagenome. Its description in RNAcentral is "FMN riboswitch (RFN element)". It matches the Rfam family "FMN riboswitch aptamer (RFN element)". Rfam says of the family: The RFN element is a highly conserved domain that is found frequently in the 5'-untranslated regions of prokaryotic mRNAs that encode for flavin mononucleotide (FMN) biosynthesis and transport proteins. The record is from RNAcentral.